CCUACGGGAGGCAGCAGUGGGGAAUAUUGGACAAUGGGCGAAAGCCUGAUCCAGCAAUGCCGCGUGAGUGAUGAAGGCCUUAGGGUUGUAAAGCUCUUUUACCAGGGAUGAUAAUGACAGUACCUGGAGAAUAAGCUCCGGCUAACUCCGUGCCAGCAGCCGCGGUAAUACGGAGGGAGCUAGCGUUGUUCGGAAUUACUGGGCGUAAAGCGUACGUAGGCGGUUAUUCAAGUCAGAGGUGAAAGCCUGGAGCUCAACUCCAGAACUGCCUUUGAAACUAGAUAGCUAGAAUCUUGGAGAGGUGAGUGGAAUUCCGAGUGUAGAGGUGAAAUUCGUAGAUAUUCGGAAGAACACCAGUGGCGAAGGCGACUCACUGGACAAGUAUUGACGCUGAGGUACGAAAGCGUGGGGAGCAAACAGGAUUAGAUACCCUGGUAGUCCACGCCGUAAACGAUGAUAACUAGCUGUUCGGGCUCUACGAGCUUGAGUGGCGCNGACUACGACAUUAAGUUAUCCGUCCGUCGGGAGGUACGGUCGCGAGAAUUAAACUAACAAUAGAAGUUAGUACGGACGUGAGACGUCGCCGACGGACGACGACGAGGGAGGAGG
This 609-nucleotide ribosomal RNA is filed under the name uncultured bacterium. Its description in RNAcentral is "bacterial SSU rRNA". The stretch from base 1 to 519 matches the Rfam family "Bacterial small subunit ribosomal RNA", at positions 338 to 873 of the family's 1533-position model. The record is from RNAcentral.